GGAAAGCAGCUCUGCCCCCUUGUGUUGAAAGGGUGAAUUAUCGGGUGCAAUUUCCUGUUCAAGGGGGCUUCUUACUCUAGUAUGUGUGACUUCUUCCCUACUGCAAACCUGGAAAUGCAGAGAAGAAGACAUCGUAUCCAGGAAGAAGACCAACAAGGAAAUGAACUGAGACUGGUGGAAACUUGAGACCACUUUAGGUCUGUUUGAAUUCUGCUGUGAGUUUGACAUGCAUUCAAUACAGUUAACCAGUCUUGCAGGCUAUGCCUUUCGGUUCUAGUGGGAUAUUGUGGUCAAACUCUCAGCUGCUAACUGCUUGGAUAUGAAGUUCUAAUGAAAUUUUCUGAAGUCAUCAUCUUGAAAAAUCAAUCCCUCUCUCCAAGUACAAAGCCUGUCCAGAUGUACAAAUACUCUGCCUGGAAGACAGAAGUGCCAAUGAGCUUAUAAAGAGUGCUAGCAUCAUCUAGUGGAGGUUUCCACUGCAUGGUUAACAUGUGCAUUUAUGUACUGAUUAGGCUGAAAUCACCGUGUUCCUUGCCAUGAAACUGCUCCGAAUUUUCAGUGGCACCUCUUACUCCAGCUGACCGCUGCUGUGCACUCUGAUGGCCACCAUGCCUCUGACUAUAACGCCAGACAAACAUGCUGUCAUUAUGCACACAGCAAAAAAUAAAAAAAUAAAAAAAAUUUUUUA
Molecule: long non-coding RNA, 688 nt
Organism: Hemicordylus capensis (graceful crag lizard)
Lineage: Eukaryota; Metazoa; Chordata; Lepidosauria; Squamata; Cordylidae
Exons: 3
Source: RefSeq, a predicted model, not a curated record